GUAUGGAUGACUGAAAAGGAACAAGAGGGAACUUUAUGAGAAUCAGUUCAAUAGCAACAAAUGGUCUACUUACUCCAGCUCCCAGCUUCCUUUGGCAUUCCCAGCAUUGCCCUGAGAAGGUCCUCCUCCAAGAAAAGAGCACCAGCUGCCUAAGUUUAAGCAAUGGCCAUAACCCCCUCCUCUGUACCCUAAGUUUUAUUAAGUCCACCUCUUCCCUCCAGCUCCAACAGACCCAGGAGGUCAGCUGCUUCCUGCAGACACUAAUCUCCAACAUGUGAAGAAAAAGUGACCACUCCUCUUUAUGAUGAGAAAUUAGACAAACUGAUAAUCAGCAGCUCUUCAUGGACUUAUCAGAGAACUGAAGUUGCAGGGCAAUCUGCCACUCUAAAAUUUGGAGACCCAGGCCCGACUACUGAGACCCCACCAGAUCUCCUCACCUGGAGCAGAAUCUAUGGAACCGUAACUGACAGAAACAUUUAACUGAUAAUUUUGAUGAACUGUUGGGAAAUGAAUGUAGACUUGUGUCAGAAGGAAAAACUCCUGGGGCAGCAGUCUUAAAAGUGUCCCAUACUCAGGGGCUUUACCUGCGGGAAAACCACCAGGUUCUCAUAACGAAAAUCCAAGAAAAGUUCUCCACAUUGUCUAGAAGGGGGAGGAGAAGAAUAAUCAUUGUGAAAUAUACCUAGAGACUUCUCCAUAACAACGACCUACUUUCCAGGGGGAAAAACUUUGCCAGAGACUUAUCUCAGUUGGAGGAAGACCAUUCCUCCAACGCCAGGCCCUUCUUGUCU
Molecule: long non-coding RNA, 791 nt
Filed under: Equus caballus (horse)
Lineage: Eukaryota; Metazoa; Chordata; Mammalia; Perissodactyla; Equidae
Description: lncRNA (ENSECAG00000055828.1)
Source: RNAcentral